CACAUUUGGUUUCUCCCUAAUGAUAACAGAAUCAAGUCCUAUCCUAAGCUUUGCUUGCUCUAGAUCCUCCUUGUCUUUUCCUUCUCCAUCUUUCAGAUUUGGCUUUCUCUUUGGCUCUGCAGCCCCUACAGCAGAACCAUUUGAGGUGGCUGUACUCCCCACAUUAUCAAGAAUGGCCCGAAUUUCCUCUGCUCUCUUCAAGUAUCCCAUACAUUUUUGCCUAAUUGUUUUUCCAACUUGUUGAUUCUUCUCAUACUUCAAAUGAGUAUGGAAGUACUCUAAUGCAUUCAUGUAAAGCUGAAAAGCUUUAGCAUAGUUUCCGGCAUCAUCCUCCUUAACAGCCUGCCUAGCAUACUCAGUUCCAUGUUCCAGAAAAUUGCAAUACAUUUUGCACUCUCAACUAAUCCCUCUUCAACUCUGAGUUCU
RNAcentral lists this unclassified non-coding RNA (426 nucleotides) under Hevea brasiliensis (rubber tree). The record is from RNAcentral. Lineage: Eukaryota; Viridiplantae; Streptophyta; Magnoliopsida; Malpighiales; Euphorbiaceae.